Molecule: long non-coding RNA, 175 nt
Filed under: Mus pahari (shrew mouse)
Lineage: Eukaryota; Metazoa; Chordata; Mammalia; Rodentia; Muridae
Description: sRNA (MGP_PahariEiJ_G0008143.1)
Rfam family: ST7 overlapping transcript 4 conserved region 2
Source: RNAcentral
GGAUGGUCUCUUUGGGAGGCAGACGGAAUUCUGCACAUAGAAUCAGCUCAUCCUAAUGUAGAGGAUGCUAAGCUGUUUGGCUCUGAUUAUUUCGAAGAUCCCACUUUUUUUUUUUAUCUGUUAGCAUGACUGCUUGUCACAUUGUCAUAUUAUUGUGUUCCUUGCCUUAGGACAG